UAGUCUCUUGGUGUGUGGAAGUUUUCGUUUGAGCUGACUUGGUCAGCGAGAAUCCAUCCCCUAAAGAGAGACUCUCUCCUACACCGUUGGCUUAUUAGGGCCGACUUUAACAGAACGGCCACUCGGG
This 127-nucleotide non-coding RNA is filed under the name uncultured Sulfurovum sp. RNAcentral's name for it is "purD RNA motif". It matches the Rfam family "purD RNA motif". Lineage: Bacteria; Pseudomonadati; Campylobacterota; Epsilonproteobacteria; Campylobacterales; Sulfurovaceae. The record is from RNAcentral.